RNAcentral lists this ribosomal RNA (301 nucleotides) under uncultured bacterium. RNAcentral's name for it is "partial 16S ribosomal RNA". It matches the Rfam family "Bacterial small subunit ribosomal RNA", at positions 509 to 809 of the family's 1533-position model. The record is from RNAcentral.
CAGCAGCCACGGUAAUACGAGGGGGGCAAGCGUUAAUCGGAAUUACUGGGCGUAAAGCGUGCGUAGGCGGUUCGUUAAGUCUGUUGUGAAAGCCCCGGGCUCAACCUGGGAAUGGCAAUGGAUACUGGCGAGCUAGAGUGUGUCAGAGGAUGGUGGAAUUCCCGGUGUAGCGGUGAAAUGCGUAGAGAUCGGGAGGAACAUCAGUGGCGAAGGCGGCCAUCUGGGACAACACUGACGCUGAGGCACGAAAGCGUGGGGAGCAAACAGGAUUAGAUACCCCGGUAGUCCCUGUCUCUUAUAA